This 478-nucleotide ribosomal RNA is filed under the name uncultured bacterium. Its description in RNAcentral is "partial 16S ribosomal RNA". It matches the Rfam family "Bacterial small subunit ribosomal RNA", at positions 28 to 523 of the family's 1533-position model. The record is from RNAcentral.
AAUGAACGCUGGCGGCGUGCUUAACACAUGCAAGUCGAACGGUAAGGCCCUUCGGGGUACACGAGUGGCGAACGGGUGAGUAACACGUGGGUGAUCUGCCCUGCACUUCGGGAUAAGCCUGGGAAACUGGGUCUAAUACCGGAUAGGACCCUGGGAUGCAUGUCCUGGGGUGGAAAGCUUUUGCGGUGUGGGAUGGGCCCGCGGCCUAUCAGCUUGUUGGUGGGGUGAUGGCCUACCAAGGCGACGACGGGUAGCUGGCCUGAGAGGGUGACCGGCCACACUGGGACUGAGAUACGGCCCAGACUCCUACGGGAGGCAGCAGUGGGGAAUAUUGCACAAUGGGCGCAAGCCUGAUGCAGCGACGCCGCGUGAGGGAUGACGGCCUUCGGGUUGUAAACCUCUUUCAGCACCGACGAAGCGCAAGUGACGGUAGGUGCAGAAGAAGGACCGGCCAACUACGUGCCAGCAGCCGCCGUAA